GAACGAACGCUGGCGGCGCGCCUAAUACAUGCAAGUCGAGCGAGAAGACGUAGCAAUACGUUUGUAAAGCGGCGAACGGGUGAGGAAUACAUGGGUAACCUACCCUCGAGUGGGGAAUAACUAGCCGAAAGGUUAGCUAAUACCGCGUACGCUCCUUGGACUUCGGUUCAGGGAGGAAAGCGAUACCGUGGGUAUCGCGCUCUUGGAUGGGCUCAUGUCCUAUCAGCUUGUUGGUGAGGUAACGGCUCACCAAGGCUUCGACGGGUAGCUGGUCUGAGAGGACGAUCAGCCACACUGGCACUGCGACACGGGCCAGACUCCUACGGGAGGCAGCAGUAAGGAAUAUUGCGCAAUGGGCGAAAGCCUGACGCAGCGACGCCGCGUGGGGGAUGAAGGUCUUCGGAUUGU
Molecule: ribosomal RNA, 408 nt
Filed under: uncultured bacterium
Lineage: Bacteria
Description: bacterial SSU rRNA
Rfam family: Bacterial small subunit ribosomal RNA
Source: RNAcentral